GAUGAACGCUGGCGGCGUGCCUAAUACAUGCAAGUCGAGCGAACGGACGAGAAGCUUGCUUCUCUGAUGUUAGCGGCGGACGGGUGAGUAACACGUGGAUAACCUACCUAUAAGACUGGGAUAACUUCGGGAAACCGGAGCUAAUACCGGAUAAUAUUUUGAACCGCAUGGUUCAAAAGUGAAAGACGGUCUUGCUGUCACUUAUAGAUGGAUCCGCGCUGCAUUAGCUAGUUGGUAAGGUAACGGCUUACCAAGGCAACGAUGCAUAGCCGACCUGAGAGGGGAAUCGGCCCCACUGAAACUGAGACACGGUCCAGACUCCUACGGGAGGCAGCAGUAGGGAAUCUUCCGAAAUGGGCGAAAGCCUGACGGAGCAACGCCGCGUGAGUGAUGAAGGUCUUCGGAUCGUAAAACUCUGUUAUUAGGGAAGAACAUAUGUGUAAGUAACUGUGCACAUCUUGACGGUACCUAAUCAGAAGGCCACGGCUAACUACGU
RNAcentral lists this ribosomal RNA (496 nucleotides) under uncultured bacterium. RNAcentral describes it as "partial 16S ribosomal RNA". It matches the Rfam family "Bacterial small subunit ribosomal RNA", at positions 28 to 506 of the family's 1533-position model. The record is from RNAcentral.